ACGGAAGGCAGCAGUAGGGAAUCUUCGGCAAUGGGGGCAACCCUGACCGAGCAACGCCGCGUGAGUGAAGAAGGUUUUCGGAUCGUAAAGCUCUUUUGUAAGAGAAGAACGUGUGUGAGAGUGGAAAGUUCACACAGUGACGGUAACUUACCAGAAAGGGACGGCUAACUACGUGCCAGCAGCCGCGGUAAUACGUAGGUCCCGAGCGUUGUCCGGAUUUAUUGGGCGUAAAGCGAGCGCAGGCGGUUUAAUAAGUCUGAAGUUAAAGGCAGUGGCUUAACCAUUGUUCGCGUUGGAAACUGUUAGACUUGAGUGCAGAAGGGGAGAGUGGAAUUCCAUGUGUAGCGGUGAAAUGCGUAGAUAUAUGGAGGAACACCGGUGGCGAAAGCGGCUUGCUGGUCUGUAACUGACGCUGAGGCUCGAAAGCGUGGGGAGCAAACAGGAUUAGAUACCCUGGUA
RNAcentral lists this ribosomal RNA (459 nucleotides) under uncultured Streptococcus sp. RNAcentral's name for it is "partial 16S ribosomal RNA". It matches the Rfam family "Bacterial small subunit ribosomal RNA", at positions 341 to 792 of the family's 1533-position model. The record is from RNAcentral. Lineage: Bacteria; Bacillati; Bacillota; Bacilli; Lactobacillales; Streptococcaceae.